UUUAUGGAGAGUUUGAUCCUGGCUCAGAGUGAACGCUGGCGGCGUGCCUAAUACAUGCAAGUCGAACGAUGAAGCUUCUAGCUUGCUAGAAUGCUGAUUAGUGGCGCACGGGUGAGUAACGCAUAGGUCAUGUGCCUCUUAGUUUGGGAUAGCCAUUGGAAACGAUGAUUAAUACCAGAUACUCCCUACGGGGGAAAGAUUUAUCGCUAAGAGAUCAGCCUAUGUCCUAUCAGCUUGUUGGUAAGGUAAUGGCUUACCAAGGCUAUGACGGGUAUCCGGCCUGAGAGGGUGAACGGACACACUGGAACUGAGACACGGUCCAGACUCCUACGGGAGGCAGCAGUAGGGAAUAUUGCUCAAUGGGGGAAACCCUGAAGCAGCAACGCCGCGUGGAGGAUGAAGGUUUUAGGAUUGUAAACUCCUUUUGUUAGAGAAGAUAAUGACGGUAUCUAACGAAUAAGCACCGGCUAACUCCGUGCCAGCAGCCGCGGUAAUACGGAGGGUGCAAGCGUUACUCGGAAUCACUGGGCGUAAAGAGCGCGUAGGCGGGAUAGUCAGUCAGGUGUGAAAUCCUAUGGCUUAACCAUAGAACUGCAUUUGAAACUACUAUUCUAGAGUGUGGGAGAGGUAGGUGGAAUUCUUGGUGUAGGGGUAAAAUCCGUAGAGAUCAAGAGGAAUACUCAUUGCGAAGGCGACCUGCUGGAACAUUACUGACGCUGAUUGUGCGAAAGCGUGGGGAGCAAACAGGAUUAGAUACCCUGGUAGUCCACGCCCUAAACGAUGGAUGCUAGUUGUUGGAGGGCUUAGUCUUUCCAGUAAUGCAGCUAACGCAUUAAGCAUCCCGCCUGGGGAGUACGGUCGCAAGAUUAAAACUCAAAGGAAUAGACGGGGACCCGCACAAGCGGUGGAGCAUGUGGUUUAAUUCGAAGAUACACGAAGAACCUUACCUAGGCUUGACAUUGAGAGAAUCCGCUAGAAAUAGUGGAGUGUCUGGCUUGCCAGACCUUGAAAACAGGUGCUGCACGGCUGUCGUCAGCUCGUGUCGUGAGAUGUUGGGUUAAGUCCCGCAACGAGCGCAACCCCCUUUCUUAGUUGCUAACAGGUUAUGCUGAGAACUCUAAGGAUACUGCCUCCGUAAGGAGGAGGAAGGUGGGGACGACGUCAAGUCAUCAUGGCCCUUACGCCUAGGGCUACACACGUGCUACAAUGGGGUGCACAAAGAGAAGCAAUACUGCGAAGUGGAGCCAAUCUUCAAAACACCUCUCAGUUCGGAUUGUAGGCUGCAACUCGCCUGCAUGAAGCUGGAAUCGCUAGUAAUCGCAAAUCAGCCAUGUUGCGGUGAAUACGUUCCCGGGUCUUGUACUCACCGCCCGUCACACCAUGGGAGUUGUGUUUGCCUUAAGUCAGGAUGCUAAAUUGGCUACUGCCCACGGCACACACAGCGACUGGGGUGAAGUCGUAACAAGGUAACCGUAGGUGAACCUGCGGUUGGAUCACCUCCUUUCUAGA
RNAcentral lists this ribosomal RNA (1509 nucleotides) under Helicobacter pylori. Its description in RNAcentral is "bacterial SSU rRNA". It matches the Rfam family "Bacterial small subunit ribosomal RNA". The record is from RNAcentral. Lineage: Bacteria; Pseudomonadati; Campylobacterota; Epsilonproteobacteria; Campylobacterales; Helicobacteraceae.